RNAcentral lists this long non-coding RNA (591 nucleotides) under Oryza sativa (Asian cultivated rice). RNAcentral's name for it is "long non-coding RNA (OSAT_LNC000717)". The record is from RNAcentral. Lineage: Eukaryota; Viridiplantae; Streptophyta; Magnoliopsida; Poales; Poaceae.
CUUUGAUCAUGAAAAUAUCAUGACAAAACAAAUAACAUUUAUAUAAUUUUAUUAAAAUAAGAUGAAUAGUUGAAAGAAAAAAAUUAAAGAUGUCGGGCCGAGUAUAUUAUAACCAGCCAAAGGUAAACAUACUAGGACACGUUUUCUCACAUGUACAGUUUCGUUAGACUUUUCUCAGUUCGCAGUAGCGAGCUCAAGUGGCAACUGAAGUCAAGUAAACGCCUGCACUUUCCAAGGCUAUAUAAUAUCACAAACAGUUCUCACGAAAAAAGAAAAACAAGAACUCCAUCUUAGAAGUGAUGUUUCCAUCAGUUGGAGCCAAAUCUCCCCCCGCUGCUUCUCAUCCUGCAUCAUUUCUUCUUUGCAGCCUCCUCAUCUUUCUAUCCUGCAACACAAUAACACCCUCAUCAGCGCAGCCCAGCAACAGAUCAGAGACCGAUUUACAAGCUCUACUAUGCUUCAAGCAAAGCAUAACCGACCCCACCGGUGCUUUCAUCUCAUGGAACACGUCAGUCCAUUUCUGCAGAUGGAAUGGUGUCAGAUGUGGCACGACAUCUCCAGCUCAAGUUGUCUCCAUAAACCUUAGCUCCA